UAGCUCUAAAGAAAGAAGGGUAUUCAUUUCACUCCUAGAUUGCUCCCUAGCUGGUGAAGGGAAGACACACCAUGG
RNAcentral lists this small nucleolar RNA (75 nucleotides) under Erinaceus europaeus (western European hedgehog). Lineage: Eukaryota; Metazoa; Chordata; Mammalia; Eulipotyphla; Erinaceidae. The record is from RNAcentral.